CCCCCCAGCCCAUCGGAGAGCUUGGAAAGCAAAGCUUGGCGUCCGCUGGGUCCCGCCACCCAGGGACGUCCCUGAGGCCAGACGCCUGCCCUCCACGCGUCAUGCAUCCCCAUAAAAAGCACUGGGCUUGUGGGCUGGGCUUGGGGCUGUCUGUCUGCUCCCUGGUGCCCUCCCAUGCGGGCACUGUGGGACCCGCACACCCUGGUAGCAGCCAGCCCCAGAGCCCAGAGCCGUGCCUGGUCGGUGAUAGGGGCUCGAGCCCAUUGCCUGCGGCUGCAGCCUCGUUCCUGUUUUCUGUCAAAUGGGGUCAGCGUGCCGCCUGGCCCUGCUGUGCCACCCCCGGAAGCCCCUUUGCUUCCAGUCCUGGGGGGACAUUCUUGACGCGUGUCCUGGAGGUGGAGCCGGGGGCAGGUUCCUCGUAGGUCCUGGUGUGCGCGGUGCAGCCCCUCAUAGGGCCGGGUGUACACGGUGCCCUCCAGGAAGUUUGAGCUAACUUGUCCUCCCUUCCUGCCAGAGGCUGGGAUGGCCAGGCCCCCCAGGUUUAGAAUCCGGAGGCCGGGGUGGCCAGGCCCCCAGGUUUAGAAUCCGGAGGCCGGGGUGGCCAGGCCCCCCACGUUUAGAAUCCGGAGGCCGGGGUGGCCAGGCCCCCCACGUUUAGAAUCCGGAGGCCGGGGUGGCCAGGCC
RNAcentral lists this long non-coding RNA (684 nucleotides) under Homo sapiens (human). RNAcentral describes it as "HSALNT0254032". Lineage: Eukaryota; Metazoa; Chordata; Mammalia; Primates; Hominidae. The record is from RNAcentral.